ACGGAGGGUGCGAGCGUUAAUCGGAAUCACUGGGCGUAAAGCGCACGUAGGCGGUGUCGUAAGUCGGAUGUGAAAGCCCUCGGCUCAACCGGGGAACUGCAUUCGAUACUGCGGUUCUUGAGUGCCGUAGGGGGUGGCGGAAUGCCAGGUGUAGCGGUGAAAUGCUUAGAUAUGAGUAAGAACACCGGUGGCGAAGGCAGCUACCUGGGUGGUAACUGACGCUCAGGUACGAAAGCGUGGGGAUCAAACAG
This 251-nucleotide ribosomal RNA is filed under the name uncultured prokaryote. RNAcentral's name for it is "partial 16S rRNA". It matches the Rfam family "Bacterial small subunit ribosomal RNA", at positions 525 to 775 of the family's 1533-position model. The record is from RNAcentral.